UGUUGUGGUUAAAGCUCGUAGUUGAACCUUGGGCCUGGCUGGCCGGUCCGCCUCACCGCGUGCACUGGUCCGGCCGGGCCUUUCCCUCUGUGGAACCCCAUACCCUUCACUGGGCGUGGCGGGGAAACAGGACAUAUACUUUGAAAAAAUUAGAGUGCUCCAGGCAGGCCUAUGCUCGAAUACAUUAGCAUGGAAUAAUAAAAUAGGACGCGCGGUUCUAUUUUGUUGGUUUAUAGGACCGCCGUAAUGAUUAAUAGGGACAGUCGGGGGCAUCAGUAUUCAACUGUCAGAGGUGAAAUUCUUGGAUCAGUUGAAGACUAACUACUGCGAAAGCAUUUGCCAAGGAUGUUUUCAUUAAUCAGGAACGAAAGUUAGGGGAUCGAAGACGAUCAGAUACCGUCGUAGUCUUAACCAUAAACUAUGCCGACUAGGGAUCGGACGGUGUUAUUCAUGACCCGUUCGGCACCUUACGAGAAAUCAAAGUGCUUGGGCUCCAGGGGGAGUAUGGUCGCAAGGCUGAAACUUAAAGAAAUUGACGGAAGGGCACCACCAGGGGUGGAGCCUGCGGCUUAAUUUGACUCAACACGGGGAAACUCACCAGGUCCAGACACAAUAAGGAUUGACAGAUUGAGAGCUCUUUCUUGAUUUUGUGGGUGGUGGUGCAUGGCCGUUCUUAGUUGGUGGGGUGACUUGUCUGCUUAAUUGCGAUAACGAACGAGACCUUAACCUGCUAAAUAGCCCGCAUUGCUCCGGCAGUGCGCUGGCUUCUUAGAGGGACUUUCGGCUCAAGCCGA
Molecule: ribosomal RNA, 794 nt
Filed under: uncultured Acremonium
Lineage: Eukaryota; Fungi; Ascomycota
Description: SSU rRNA
Rfam family: Eukaryotic small subunit ribosomal RNA
Source: RNAcentral